Molecule: ribosomal RNA, 490 nt
Filed under: uncultured bacterium
Lineage: Bacteria
Description: partial 16S ribosomal RNA
Rfam family: Bacterial small subunit ribosomal RNA
Source: RNAcentral
GAUGAACGCUAGCUACAGGCUUAACACAUGCAAGUCGCAGGGUAACAUGAGGAAAGCUUGCUUUCCUUGAUGACGACUGGCGCACGGGUGAGUAACGCGUAUCCAACCUUCCCAUAACUACGGGAUAACCCGUUGAAAGACGGCCUAAUACCGUAUGAUAUCGUUUGCUGACAUCAAAUAACGAUUAAAGGUUUAGCGGUUAUGGAUGGGGAUGCGUCUGAUUAGCUUGUUGGCGGGGUAACGGCCCACCAAGGCGACGAUCAGUAGGGGUUGUGAGAGGAAGGUCCCCCACAGUGGGACUGGGACACGGUCCACACUCCUACGGGAGGCAGCAGUGAGGAAUAUUGGUCAAUGGGCGAGAGCCUGAACCAGCCAAGUAGCGUGCAGGACGACGGCCCUAUGGGUUGUAAACUGCUUUUAUGUGGGGAUAAAGUGCGUGACGUGUCAUGCAUUGCAGGUACCACAUGAAUAAGGACCGGCUAAUUCCGUG